Molecule: long non-coding RNA, 591 nt
Filed under: Nicotiana benthamiana
Lineage: Eukaryota; Viridiplantae; Streptophyta; Magnoliopsida; Solanales; Solanaceae
Description: long non-coding RNA (NBEN_LNC021819)
Source: RNAcentral
AAGAUAUGGAUAAGGGUGUGGUUGAGUGUCUGUGGGUCUGUGAUCAGAGACGGACACUCCGAUGUGACCAUAGACUGCCAUAGAAGAGGGCCAAAGGCCAAUAAGUCUUUGUUCAGUGCCUCGACUGUCACCCUUGCCAGGUGGGCUGGGUUUUGGACAAUCAGUGUCACCUCCCUAUUGUCCAUUGUGAAGUCGUAGGAGAGUCUCUGGCCUUGCAGAUCCACCUCCAACCAAGACCCCCGUUGGUGGUCCGGAGGCAGAGGACUGGUGGAUACGGUGAUUGGGGGUGUUCAUAAGGGUAUAUCUUUGCCAUUUUUGGGUCUUUUCUGCUUUCUUGUUUGGGUAUUGUUGGGAAUGGGGUUAAUAGGGUGAUCCCCCAUUGUAAAACCCUCCGAUGUCACAUCUCGGACAGUGGAAGGGUUUUGGGGCAUUGGGAUUAGGGGAAAAUCUUGGACAUUAAUUGGGGAUAUGGUGGAGGUGACAGUUGCAGUCUUUUCGACUACGUUUAAGGGGGUUUGCAGGUGAGGCAAUCGAGUGCCAUGCCUGUCUUUGGAGAUUUCUCCAUUAUCGUUAGAGAGAGUGGUAUUGGGG